Molecule: ribosomal RNA, 275 nt
Filed under: Klebsiella quasipneumoniae
Lineage: Bacteria; Pseudomonadati; Pseudomonadota; Gammaproteobacteria; Enterobacterales; Enterobacteriaceae
Description: partial 16S ribosomal RNA
Rfam family: Bacterial small subunit ribosomal RNA (bases 1-177)
Source: RNAcentral
CUCUAUACUCCUGCUUAACACAAGUUGAGUAGGGAAAGUUUUUCGGUGUAGGAUGAGACUAUAUAGUAUCAGCUAGUUGGUAAGGUAAUGGCUUACCAAGGCUAUGACGCUUAACUGGUCUGAGAGGAUGAUCAGUCACACUGGAACUGAGACACGGUCCAGACUCCUACGGGAGGCUCUAUACUCCUGCUUAACACAAGUUGAGUAGGGAAAGUUUUUCGGUGUAGGAUGAGACUAUAUAGUAUCAGCUAGUUGGUAAGGUAAUGGCUUACCAA